This 575-nucleotide long non-coding RNA is filed under the name Panax ginseng (ginseng). RNAcentral's name for it is "long non-coding RNA (PGIN_LNC016950)". The record is from RNAcentral. Lineage: Eukaryota; Viridiplantae; Streptophyta; Magnoliopsida; Apiales; Araliaceae.
AACUAACUUAUACUUCUUAAGGAGUAUUGGGGACAAACUUUAUCGACGACGACCAACUAUCAAGAUUGUAAUCUUCUUCUUACACUUGGCAGACAUUUGCAGUCUCUAAGCCUUGAGGAGUUAACUUAUGAAGUAGAGAGAGUAACACAACAUCAUGAUGAUGAUGUCGAGGUACUCUUAUCAUUCUUUAGCUUUGCAUGUUUAGUUUAGAUUUACAUUCAAUAAUAUAUGUUUAGCUUUUUGUUAUUGUAAUACAUCAGAAAUGGUCGUUUUUUGUUUUGCAUAAGUCAUACCAGUAUCAACAUAUAUACUUUAUAUUUAACAUGUUUUAUUCUUCUGUUACAGGCUCAUCUGAACGAUAUUGGAUGUGUGAAGACAUUUGUAUUGUCCUCUUUUCUUUUUCUACAUUUGUAUUAUUCCUUUUUACCUAAUGAAUGUACAUAGUUUAUACUGUACGUUAUGAUAUUUAAUUUGUAUAUAAAUUUUAGGCAAACGGUAUUUGUUUGUGUUUAUAGGUGCAUAGAUGUUUAUAUAUAUUGUGUUGAUUUUUAUUUUAAUAUAUGGAUGGAUCGAUG